AGAGUUUGAUCCUGGCUCAGAGCGAACGCUGGCGGCAGGCCUAACACAUGCAAGUCGAACGGAUCCUUCGGGAUUAGUGGCGGACGGGUGAGUAACACGUGGGAACGUGCCCUUUGGUUCGGAACAACUCAGGGAAACUUGAGCUAAUACCGGAUAAGCCUUUGGAGGGAAAGAUUUAUCGCCAUUGGAGCGGCCCGCGUAGGAUUAGCUAGUUGGUGGGGUAAAGGCCCACCAAGGCUACGAUCCUUAGCUGGUCUGAGAGGAUGAUCAGCCACAUUGGGACUGAGACACGGCCCAAACUCCUACGGGAGGCAGCAGUGGGGAAUCUUGCGCAAUGGGCGAAAGCCUGACGCAGCCAUGCCGCGUGAAUGAUGAAGGUCUUAGGAUUGUAAAAUUCUUUCACCGGGGACGAUAAUGACGGUACCCGGAGAAGAAGCCCCGGCUAACUUCGUGCCAGCAGCCGCGGUAAUACGAAGGGGGCUAGCGUUGCUCGGAAUUACUGGGCGUAAAGGGAGCGUAGGCGGAUAGUUUAGUCAGAGGUGAAAGCCCAGGGCUCAACCUUGGAAUUGCCUUUGAUACUGGCUAUCUUGAGUACGGAAGAGGUAUGUGGAACUCCGAGUGUAGAGGUGAAAUUCGUAGAUAUUCGGAAGAACACCAGUGGCGAAGGCGACAUACUGGUCCGUUACUGACGCUGAGGCUCGAAAGCGUGGGGAGCAAACAGGAUUAGAUACCCUGGUAGUCCACGCUGUAAACGAUGAGUGCUAGUUGUCGGCAGGCAUGCCUGUCGGUGACGCAGCUAACGCAUUAAGCACUCCGCCUGGGGAGUACGGUCGCAAGAUUAAAACUCAAAGGAAUUGACGGGGGCCCGCACAAGCGGUGGAGCAUGUGGUUUAAUUCGAAGCAACGCGCAGAACCUUACCACCUUUUGACAUGCCUGGACCGCCUCAGAGAUGAGGCUUUCCCUUCGGGGACUGGGACACAGGUGCUGCUUGGCUGUCGUCAGCUCGUGUCGUGAGAUGUUGGGUUAAGUCCCGCAACGAGCGCAACCCUUGUCUCAUGUUGCCAGCACGUCAUGGUGGGGACUCGUGAGAGACUGCCGGGGUCAACUCGGAGGAAGGUGGGGAUGACGUCAAGUCAUCAUGCCCCUUAUGUCCAGGGCUUCACACAUGCUACAAUGGCCGGUACAAAGGGCUGCGAUGCCGUGAGGUGGAGCGAAUCCUUUCAAAGCCGGUCUCAGUUCGGAUCGGGGUCUGCAACUCGACCCCGUGAAGUCGGAGUCGCUAGUAAUCGCAGAUCAGCAACGCUGCGGUGAAUACGUUCCCGGGCCUUGUACACACCGCCCGUCACGUCAUGAAAGUCGGUAACACCCGAAGCCGGUGGCCUAACCCCUCGUGGGAGGGAGCCGUCGAAGGUGGGAUCGGCGAUUGGGACGAAGU
Molecule: ribosomal RNA, 1436 nt
Filed under: metagenome
Description: bacterial SSU rRNA
Rfam family: Bacterial small subunit ribosomal RNA
Source: RNAcentral